RNAcentral lists this ribosomal RNA (2902 nucleotides) under Shigella sonnei. RNAcentral describes it as "bacterial LSU rRNA". It matches the Rfam family "Bacterial large subunit ribosomal RNA". Lineage: Bacteria; Pseudomonadati; Pseudomonadota; Gammaproteobacteria; Enterobacterales; Enterobacteriaceae. The record is from RNAcentral.
UUAAGCGACUAAGCGUACACGGUGGAUGCCCUGGCAGUCAGAGGCGAUGAAGGACGUGCUAAUCUGCGAUAAGCGUCGGUAAGGUGAUAUGAACCGUUAUAACCGGCGAUUUCCGAAUGGGGAAACCCAGUGUGUUUCGACACACUAUCAUUAACUGAAUCCAUAGGUUAAUGAGGCGAACCGGGGGAACUGAAACAUCUAAGUACCCCGAGGAAAAGAAAUCAACCGAGAUUCCCCCAGUAGCGGCGAGCGGACGGGGAGCAGCCCAGAGCCUGAAUCAGUGUGUGUGUUAGUGGAAGCGUCUGGAAAGGCGUGCGAUACAGGGUGACAGCCCCGUACACAAAAAUGCACAUAUUGUGAGCUCGAUGAGUAGGGCGGGACACGUGGUAUCCUGUCUGAAUAUGGGGGGACCAUCCUCCAAGGCUAAAUACUCCUGACUGACCGAUAGUGAACCAGUACCGUGAGGGAAAGGCGAAAAGAACCCCGGCGAGGGGAGUGAAAAAGAACCUGAAACCGUGUACGUACAAGCAGUGGGAGCACGCUUAGGCGUGUGACUGCGUACCUUUUGUAUAAUGGGUCAGCGACUUAUAUUCUGUAGCAAGGUUAACCGAAUAGGGGAGCCGAAGGGAAACCGAGUCUUAACUGGGCGUUAAGUUGCAGGGUAUAGACCCGAAACCCGGUGAUCUAGCCAUGGGCAGGUUGAAGGUUGGGUAACACUAACUGGAGGACCGAACCGACUAAUGUUGAAAAAUUAGCGGAUGACUUGUGGCUGGGGGUGAAAGGCCAAUCAAACCGGGAGAUAGCUGGUUCUCCCCGAAAGCUAUUUAGGUAGCGCCUCGUGAAUUCAUCUCCGGGGGUAGAGCACUGUUUCGGCAAGGGGGUCAUCCCGACUUACCAACCCGAUGCAAACUGCGAAUACCGGAGAAUGUUAUCACGGGAGACACACGGCGGGUGCUAACGUCCGUCGUGAAGAGGGAAACAACCCAGACCGCCAGCUAAGGUCCCAAAGUCAUGGUUAAGUGGGAAACGAUGUGGGAAGGCCCAGACAGCCAGGAUGUUGGCUUAGAAGCAGCCAUCAUUUAAAGAAAGCGUAAUAGCUCACUGGUCGAGUCGGCCUGCGCGGAAGAUGUAACGGGGCUAAACCAUGCACCGAAGCUGCGGCAGCGACGCUUAUGCGUUGUUGGGUAGGGGAGCGUUCUGUAAGCCUGCGAAGGUGUGCUGUGAGGCAUGCUGGAGGUAUCAGAAGUGCGAAUGCUGACAUAAGUAACGAUAAAGCGGGUGAAAAGCCCGCUCGCCGGAAGACCAAGGGUUCCUGUCCAACGUUAAUCGGGGCAGGGUGAGUCGACCCCUAAGGCGAGGCCGAAAGGCGUAGUCGAUGGGAAACAGGUUAAUAUUCCUGUACUUGGUGUUACUGCGAAGGGGGGACGGAGAAGGCUAUGUUGGCCGGGCGACGGUUGUCCCGGUUUAAGCGUGUAGGCUGGUUUUCCAGGCAAAUCCGGAAAAUCAAGGCUGAGGCGUGAUGACGAGGCACUACGGUGCUGAAGCAACAAAUGCCCUGCUUCCAGGAAAAGCCUCUAAGCAUCAGGUAACAUCAAAUCGUACCCCAAACCGACACAGGUGGUCAGGUAGAGAAUACCAAGGCGCUUGAGAGAACUCGGGUGAAGGAACUAGGCAAAAUGGUGCCGUAACUUCGGGAGAAGGCACGCUGAUAUGUAGGUGAAGUCCCUUGCGGAUGGAGCUGAAAUCAGUCGAAGAUACCAGCUGGCUGCAACUGUUUAUUAAAAACACAGCACUGUGCAAACACGAAAGUGGACGUAUACGGUGUGACGCCUGCCCGGUGCCGGAAGGUUAAUUGAUGGGGUCAGCGCAAGCGAAGCUCUUGAUCGAAGCCCCGGUAAACGGCGGCCGUAACUAUAACGGUCCUAAGGUAGCGAAAUUCCUUGUCGGGUAAGUUCCGACCUGCACGAAUGGCGUAAUGAUGGCCAGGCUGUCUCCACCCGAGACUCAGUGAAAUUGAACUCGCUGUGAAGAUGCAGUGUACCCGCGGCAAGACGGAAAGACCCCGUGAACCUUUACUAUAGCUUGACACUGAACAUUGAGCCUUGAUGUGUAGGAUAGGUGGGAGGCUUUGAAGUGUGGACGCCAGUCUGCAUGGAGCCGGCCUUGAAAUACCACCCUUUAAUGUUUGAUGUUCUAACGUGGACCCGUGAUCCGGGUUGCGGACAGUGUCUGGUGGGUAGUUUGACUGGGGCGGUCUCCUCCUAAAGAGUAACGGAGGAGCACGAAGGUUGGCUAAUCCUGGUCGGACAUCAGGAGGUUAGUGCAAUGGCAUAAGCCAGCUUGACUGCGAGCGUGACGGCGCGAGCAGGUGCGAAAGCAGGUCAUAGUGAUCCGGUGGUUCUGAAUGGAAGGGCCAUCGCUCAACGGAUAAAAGGUACUCCGGGGAUAACAGGCUGAUACCGCCCAAGAGUUCAUAUCGACGGCGGUGUUUGGCACCUCGAUGUCGGCUCAUCACAUCCUGGGGCUGAAGUAGGUCCCAAGGGUAUGGCUGUUCGCCAUUUAAAGUGGUACGCGAGCUGGGUUUAGAACGUCGUGAGACAGUUCGGUCCCUAUCUGCCGUGGGCGCUGGAGAACUGAGGGGGGCUGCUCCUAGUACGAGAGGACCGGAGUGGACGCAUCACUGGUGUUCGGGUUGUCAUGCCAAUGGCACUGCCCGGUAGCUAAAUGCGGAAGAGAUAAGUGCUGAAAGCAUCUAAGCACGAAACUUGCCCCGAGAUGAGUUCUCCCUGACCCUUUAAGGGUCCUGAAGGAACGUUGAAGACGACGACGUUGAUAGGCCGGGUGUGUAAGCGCAGCGAUGCGUUGAGCUAACCGGUACUAAUGAACCGUGAGGCUUAACCUU